GAUGAACGCUAGCGGCAGGCUUAAUACAUGCAAGUCGAGGGGCAGCAUGAUUGUAGCAAUACAAUUGAUGGCGACCGGCAAACGGGUGCGGAACACGUACACAACCUUCCAAUAAGUGGGGAAUAGCCCAGAGAAAUUUGGAUUAAUACCCCGUAACAUAGCGAUGUGGCAUCACAUUGCUAUUAUAGCUUCGGCGCUUGUUGAUGGGUGUGCGGCUGAUUAGAUAGUUGGCGGGGUAACGGCCCACCAAGUCUACGAUCAGUAGCUGAUGUGAGAGCAUGAUCAGCCACACGGGCACUGAGACACGGGCCCGACUCCUACGGGAGGCAGCAGUAAGGAAUAUUGGACAAUGGACGCAAGUCUGAUCCAGCCAUGCCGCGUGAAGGAUUAAGGUCCUCUGGAUUGUAAAACUUCUUUUAUUAAGGGACGAAAAAGGUACUUCUAGAUCGUCUGACGGUACCUAUGAAUAAGCACGG
RNAcentral lists this ribosomal RNA (476 nucleotides) under uncultured bacterium. Its description in RNAcentral is "bacterial SSU rRNA". It matches the Rfam family "Bacterial small subunit ribosomal RNA", at positions 28 to 495 of the family's 1533-position model. The record is from RNAcentral.